CUGUGUGCAGAGCUGACCGGCUAUUGCAAGUCACUGAGUGCAGAAUGGCUAGGAGUGCUUAAGGCCUUGUGCUGCUCCUCUAACAAUGGCACUUGUGGUUUCAACGAUCUCCUCUGCAAUGUUGAUGUCAGUGACCUGUCUUUUCAUGACUCGCUGGCUACUUUUGUUGCCAUCCUCAUCGCUCGGCAGUGUUUGCUCCUGGAAGAUCUGAUUCGCUGUGCUGCUAUCCCUUCACUCCUUAAUGCUGGUGAACUACCAAUCUGUAACCCCUAGCAUUUCUAGACCUCAAAUUUCAAUACACACUGGACGGCCAUCCUCUCAUUGUUCACUGUGGGAGACCUUGCUGCGG
Molecule: small RNA, 349 nt
Filed under: Pongo abelii (Sumatran orangutan)
Lineage: Eukaryota; Metazoa; Chordata; Mammalia; Primates; Hominidae
Description: processed transcript
Source: RNAcentral